This is a long non-coding RNA of Nematostella vectensis (starlet sea anemone), 1013 nucleotides long. RefSeq lists it as uncharacterized. The transcript has 3 exons. NCBI's taxonomy places the organism in Eukaryota, Metazoa, Cnidaria, Anthozoa, Actiniaria, Edwardsiidae. The record is from RefSeq and is a predicted model, not a curated record.
UGCUGGUGAAGUUGAAAAAAGUGUUUUGUUCCUGGUUUUAUGUAAUACGUAGGGCAAAGAGACCAUGAUCUCUUGGUAGGGCUCAUAAGUGCUUUGAGCCAUCUGAAUACGUCAUUAUCAGUCAUGGUAUUGAUCUCUGAACAAAAGCGCUAUAACAGGCAUGGAAUAUUGGAUCUUUAUUCAUUGUCGGCGACGAAAAAGUAAAUGGCCGCCACGCACGAAAGUUAGUACAUGGUCGGCAUAUGAAUAAUGGCUGCUCAUCCAGAGGAAGCCUGACUUCCUAUCUUAGCGAAGUGCUGAGGAAAUGUUUGAGCUCUCGUGGAAAGGACAGGAUUUAAACUCGACUGGUUGAAAAUUACCACAUUCAAGGCGCUUGGGUUGGGCAAGCAUGGAGUACUGGUCAGCGGCUGUCUCUAUCACUUGCGCAUGCUUCCUUGCAGUCCUUAUGCUGCUAGGAAUUAUGGGAAACAUUUUGGUCGCAAUAGCAACAUAUCAACGUCAGAUUCGCACGUUACCAGGCACCGUCUUCAUCAGGAACCUGGCCUUUAUAGACAUUGGGGGCUCGGCAAGCCUAGUGUUCAUGCUUGUGACGAUGGUAUGCCGAGGGGAGUGGGUGUUCGGUCAUGUAGGGUGUGAGGUCAGCGGCGUUUUGGUCGUGUUCUUCGGUACCUCAACUUUGCAAGCUCUCUGGGUCCUCAGCCUUAAUAGGUACUUUAAGAUAUGCAAACCAGCAAAGUACGACAGAGUUUUCAAAAGCAAGAUGCGGGCAGUUUUCUUAGCGAUUCCAUGGGUGACCCCGACGAUCUUUGCCAUCGCACCCGUCUUGGGCUGGUCUUCUUACCAGUAGCAGGUCUCCAAAUGCGUCUGCCAUUUUCACUUCAGAGAAUCAAUCUCCUACACUGUAACAUUCCUUGUCAUGUUCGUGGGAGCCCCACUAGGACUUAUCGCUUUCUGUUACUUUGGGAUAUACCAUGCGGUCAAAGUUCACCGGGUCAACUUCAGAAACUCGAUCA